GGAGUUAGCCGGUGCUUCUUCUGUGAGUGAUGUCCUUCCUGCCGGCUAUUAACCCGCAGGCCUUCUUCCUCACUGAAAGUGCUUUACAACCCGAAGGCCUCUUCACACACGCGGCAUGGCUGGAUCAGGGUUGCCCCCAUUGUCCAAUAUUCCCCACUGCUGCCUCCCGUAGGAGUCUGGGCCGUGUCUCAGUCCCAGUGUGGCUGAUCAUCCUCUCAGACCAGCUACGGAUCGUCGCCUUGGUGAGCCGUUACCUCACCAACCAGCUAAUCCGACAUAGGCUCAUCCGAUAGCGCGAGGCCCGAAGGUCCCCCGCUUUCCCCCGUAGGGCGUAUGCGGUAUUAGCCUGGGUUUCCCCAGGUUAUCCCCCACUACCGGGCAGAUUCCUAUGCAUUACUCACCCGUCCGCCGCUCGCCACCAGGGAGCAAGCUCCCCGUGCUGCCGCUCGACUUGCAUGUGUUAGGCCUGCCGCCAGCGUUCAAUCUGAGCCAGAAUCAAACUCUGA
Molecule: ribosomal RNA, 506 nt
Filed under: uncultured bacterium
Lineage: Bacteria
Description: partial 16S ribosomal RNA
Source: RNAcentral